GGGUUGUGAGGUUAAGCGACUAAGCGUACACGGUGGAUGCCCUGGCAGUCAGAGGCGAUGAAGGACGUGCUAAUCUGCGAUAAGCGUCGGUAAGGUGAUAUGAACCGUUAUAACCGGCGAUUUCCGAAUGGGGAAACCCAGUGUGUUUCGACACACUAUCAUUAACUGAAUCCAUAGGUUAAUGAGGCGAACCGGGGGAACUGAAACAUCUAAGUACCCCGAGGAAAAGAAAUCAACCGAGAUUCCCCCAGUAGCGGCGAGCGAACGGGGAGCAGCCCAGAGCCUGAAUCAGUAUGUGUGUUAGUGGAAGCGUCUGGAAAGGCGCGCGAUACAGGGUGACAGCCCCGUACACAAAAAUGCACAUAUUGUGAGCUCGAUGAGUAGGGCGGGACACGUGGUAUCCUGUCUGAAUAUGGGGGGACCAUCCUCCAAGGCUAAAUACUCCUGACUGACCGAUAGUGAACCAGUACCGUGAGGGAAAGGCGAAAAGAACCCCGGCGAGGGGAGUGAAAAAGAACCUGAAACCGUGUACGUACAAGCAGUGGGAGCACGCUUAGGCGUGUGACUGCGUACCUUUUGUAUAAUGGGUCAGCGACUUAUAUUCUGUAGCAAGGUUAACCGAAUAGGGGAGCCGAAGGGAAACCGAGUCUUAACUGGGCGUUAAGUUGCAGGGUAUAGACCCGAAACCCGGUGAUCUAGCCAUGGGCAGGUUGAAGGUUGGGUAACACUAACUGGAGGACCGAACCGACUAAUGUUGAAAAAUUAGCGGAUGACUUGUGGCUGGGGGUGAAAGGCCAAUCAAACCGGGAGAUAGCUGGUUCUCCCCGAAAGCUAUUUAGGUAGCGCCUCGUGAAUUCAUCUCCGGGGGUAGAGCACUGUUUCGGCAAGGGGGUCAUCCCGACUUACCAACCCGAUGCAAACUGCGAAUACCGGAGAAUGUUAUCACGGGAGACACACGGCGGGUGCUAACGUCCGUCGUGAAGAGGGAAACAACCCAGACCGCCAGCUAAGGUCCCAAAGUCAUGGUUAAGUGGGAAACGAUGUGGGAAGGCCCAGACAGCCAGGAUGUUGGCUUAGAAGCAGCCAUCAUUUAAAGAAAGCGUAAUAGCUCACUGGUCGAGUCGGCCUGCGCGGAAGAUGUAACGGGGCUAAACCAUGCACCGAAGCUGCGGCAGCGACACUAUGUGUUGUUGGGUAGGGGAGCGUUCUGUAAGCCUGUGAAGGUGUGCUGUGAGGCAUGCUGGAGGUAUCAGAAGUGCGAAUGCUGACAUAAGUAACGAUAAAGCGGGUGAAAAGCCCGCUCGCCGGAAGACCAAGGGUUCCUGUCCAACGUUAAUCGGGGCAGGGUGAGUCGACCCCUAAGGCGAGGCCGAAAGGCGUAGUCGAUGGGAAACAGGUUAAUAUUCCUGUACUUGGUGUUACUGCGAAGGGGGGACGGAGAAGGCUAUGUUGGCCGGGCGACGGUUGUCCCGGUUUAAGCGUGUAGGCUGGUUUUCCAGGCAAAUCCGGAAAAUCAAGGCUGAGGCGUGAUGACGAGGCACUACGGUGCUGAAGCAACAAAUGCCCUGCUUCCAGGAAAAGCCUCUAAGCAUCAGGUAACAUCAAAUCGUACCCCAAACCGACACAGGUGGUCAGGUAGAGAAUACCAAGGCGCUUGAGAGAACUCGGGUGAAGGAACUAGGCAAAAUGGUGCCGUAACUUCGGGAGAAGGCACGCUGAUAUGUAGGUGAAGUCCCUCGCGGAUGGAGCUGAAAUCAGUCGAAGAUACCAGCUGGCUGCAACUGUUUAUUAAAAACACAGCACUGUGCAAACACGAAAGUGGACGUAUACGGUGUGACGCCUGCCCGGUGCCGGAAGGUUAAUUGAUGGGGUUAGCCGCAAGGCGAAGCUCUUGAUCGAAGCCCCGGUAAACGGCGGCCGUAACUAUAACGGUCCUAAGGUAGCGAAAUUCCUUGUCGGGUAAGUUCCGACCUGCACGAAUGGCGUAAUGAUGGCCAGGCUGUCUCCACCCGAGACUCAGUGAAAUUGAACUCGCUGUGAAGAUGCAGUGUACCCGCGGCAAGACGGAAAGACCCCGUGAACCUUUACUAUAGCUUGACACUGAACAUUGAGCCUUGAUGUGUAGGAUAGGUGGGAGGCUUAGAAGUGUGGACGCCAGUCUGCAUGGAGCCGACCUUGAAAUACCACCCUUUAAUGUUUGAUGUUCUAACGUUGACCCGUAAUCCGGGUUGCGGACAGUGUCUGGUGGGUAGUUUGACUGGGGCGGUCUCCUCCUAAAGAGUAACGGAGGAGCACGAAGGUUGGCUAAUCCUGGUCGGACAUCAGGAGGUUAGUGCAAUGGCAUAAGCCAGCUUGACUGCGAGCGUGACGGCGCGAGCAGGUGCGAAAGCAGGUCAUAGUGAUCCGGUGGUUCUGAAUGGAAGGGCCAUCGCUCAACGGAUAAAAGGUACUCCGGGGAUAACAGGCUGAUACCGCCCAAGAGUUCAUAUCGACGGCGGUGUUUGGCACCUCGAUGUCGGCUCAUCACAUCCUGGGGCUGAAGUAGGUCCCAAGGGUAUGGCUGUUCGCCAUUUAAAGUGGUACGCGAGCUGGGUUUAGAACGUCGUGAGACAGUUCGGUCCCUAUCUGCCGUGGGCGCUGGAGAACUGAGGGGGGCUGCUCCUAGUACGAGAGGACCGGAGUGGACGCAUCACUGGUGUUCGGGUUGUCAUGCCAAUGGCACUGCCCGGUAGCUAAAUGCGGAAGAGAUAAGUGCUGAAAGCAUCUAAGCACGAAACUUGCCCCGAGAUGAGUUCUCCCUGACUCCUUGAGAGUCCUGAAGGAACGUUGAAGACGACGACGUUGAUAGGCCGGGUGUGUAAGCGCAGCGAUGCGUUGAGCUAACCGGUACUAAUGAACCGUGAGGCUUAACCUUACAACGCCGAAGGUGUUU
Molecule: ribosomal RNA, 2932 nt
Filed under: Escherichia coli
Lineage: Bacteria; Pseudomonadati; Pseudomonadota; Gammaproteobacteria; Enterobacterales; Enterobacteriaceae
Also listed under: 2 other names
Description: bacterial LSU rRNA
Rfam family: Bacterial large subunit ribosomal RNA
Source: RNAcentral